UGCUUUCUUUGCUGACGAGUGGCGGACGGGUGAGUAAUGCUUGGGAAUCUGGCUUAUGGAGGGGGAUAACUACGGGAAACUGUAGCUAAUACCGCGUAGUAUCGGAAGAUGAAAGUGUGGGACCGCAAGGCCACAUGCCAUAAGAUGAGCCCAAGUGGGAUUAGGUAGUUGGUUAGGUAAAGGCUGACCAAGCCGACGAUCUCUAGCUGGUCUGAGAGGAUGACCAGCCACACUGGAACUGAGACACGGUCCAGACUCCUACGGGAGGCAGCAGUGGGGAAUAUUGCACAAUGGGGGGAACCCUGAUGCAGCCAUGCCGCGUGAAUGAAGAAGGCCUUCGGGUUGUAAAGUUCUUUCGGUGAUGAGGAAGGUGUUUGUUUUAAUAGGACAAGCAAUUGACGUU
This 403-nucleotide ribosomal RNA is filed under the name uncultured bacterium. RNAcentral's name for it is "bacterial SSU rRNA". It matches the Rfam family "Bacterial small subunit ribosomal RNA", at positions 77 to 476 of the family's 1533-position model. The record is from RNAcentral.